RNAcentral lists this ribosomal RNA (765 nucleotides) under uncultured Streptococcus sp. Its description in RNAcentral is "bacterial SSU rRNA". It matches the Rfam family "Bacterial small subunit ribosomal RNA", at positions 28 to 776 of the family's 1533-position model. The record is from RNAcentral. Lineage: Bacteria; Bacillati; Bacillota; Bacilli; Lactobacillales; Streptococcaceae.
GACGAACGCUGGCGGCGUGCCUAAUACAUGCAAGUAGAACGCUGAAGAGAGGAGCUUGCUCUUCUUGGAAGAGUUGCGAACGGGUGAGUAACGCGUAGGUAACCUGCCUUGUAGCGGGGGAUAACUAUUGGAAACGAUAGCUAAUACCGCAUAACAAUGGGUGACCCAUGUCAUUCAUUUGAAAGGGGCAACUGCUCCACUACAAGAUGGACCUGCGUUGUAUUAGCUAGUAGGUGAGGUAACGGCUCACCUAGGCGACGAUACAUAGCCGACCUGAGAGGGUGAUCGGCCACACUGGGACUGGGACACGGCCCAGACUCCUACGGGAGGCAGCAGUAGGGAAUCUUCGGCAAUGGGGGCAACCCUGACCGAGCAACGCCGCGUGAGUGAAGAAGGUUUUCGGAUCGUAAAGCUCUGUUGUAAGUCAAGAACGAGUGUGAGAGUGGAAAGUUCACACUGUGACGGUAGCUUACCAGAAAGGGACGGCUAACUACGUGCCAGCAGCCGCGGUAAUACGUAGGUCCCGAGCGUUGUCCGGAUUUAUUGGGCGUAAAGCGAGCGCAGGCGGUUUGAUAAGUCUGAAGUUAAAGGCUGUGGCUCAACCAUAGUUCGCUUUGGAAACUGUCAAACUUGAGUGCAGAAGGGGAGAGUGGAAUUCCAUGUGUAGCGGUGAAAUGCGUAGAUAUAUGGAGGAACACCGGUGGCGAAAGCGGCUCUCUGGUCUGUAACUGACGCUGAGGCUCGAAAGCGUGGGGAGCGAACAGG